GCGCGGGGCAACCUGGCGGCGAGUGGCGAACGGGUGAGUAAUAUAUCGGAACGUGCCCUGGAGUGGGGGAUAACGCAGCGAAAGUUGCGCUAAUACCGCAUACGAUCUAAGGAUGAAAGUGGGGGCUUCGCAAGAACCUCAUGCUCCUGGAGCGGCCGAUAUCUGAUUAGCUAGUUGGUGGGGUAAAGGCCUACCAAGGCAUCGAUCAGUAGCUGGUCUGAGAGGACGACCAGCCACACUGGAACUGAGACACGGUCCAGACUCCUACGGGAGGCAGCAGUGGGGAAUUUUGGACAAUGGGCGCAAGCCUGAUCCAGCAAUGCCGCGUGAGUGAAGAAGGCCUUCGGGUUGUAAAGCUCUUUUGUCAGGGAAGAAACGGUGYGGGCUAAUAUCCUGCACUAAUGACGGUACCUGAAGAAUAAGCACCGGCUAACUACGUGCCAGCAGCCGCGGUAAUACGUAGGGUGCAAGCGUUAAUCGGAAUUACUGGGCGUAAAGCGUGCGCAGGCGGUUUUGUAAGUCUGUCGUGAAAUCCCCGGGCUCAACCUGGGAAUUGCGAUGGAGACUGCAAGGCUAGAAUCUGGCAGAGGGGGGUAGAAUUCCACGUGUAGCAGUGAAAUGCGUAGAGAUGUGGAGGAACACCGAUGGCGAAGGCAGCCCCCUGGGUCAAGAUUGACGCUCAUGCACGAAAGCGUGGGGAG
Molecule: ribosomal RNA, 701 nt
Filed under: Massilia sp.
Lineage: Bacteria; Pseudomonadati; Pseudomonadota; Betaproteobacteria; Burkholderiales; Oxalobacteraceae
Description: bacterial SSU rRNA
Rfam family: Bacterial small subunit ribosomal RNA
Source: RNAcentral